UUAGAUUUACCUACUUCUUUCCAUUUAAUUUUUCGUUUCGGGUAAUUUUAAGUUCAUAUCAUAUUGGAAUUUGGUGGUUGACCAUUUUCUAUGGAAAAAUUAUACUUGAAAAAAACCAUUUUUCUUAUUUAUAUGAGAGAUUGAGAUUUCAGAUGUGUCAUUGGUUUGGAUCAAAAUAUUCAAUGAAGCAAAAUGAGUUCAUAAAACAUUUGAAGAAAUUACUACUUUUUUCUCUAACUGCUUGCAUACACGAUCACUACAGGAAAUUACACUUUUUUCUCUAACAUAAUGAUGUGAGCAUCCUUUUGGCAUCUUUUUGCUUCAUAUUUUUCCCUGCAUUGAUUUUCAAUUAUUAGCUGGUCUUGUUAAGUUUUAUAAACAUGCAACAACUGAGAUGGAUGCAUGCUAAUUUUAUGCAAUAAUUUUUGCUUUCUUUUAUUUGUCUAUCUAAAUUUUCAUAACAUCAACAAUGUACGAUGCCAAAUGCGAUUUAGGAAAUUGGCCCACAAUACCUAAAAUAUUGUUCUUUUGCCGUACACGGUGGUAUUUGUUAUACAAGUACUUUAACUCGCUGCAAAGCGAAUGCUUUUCUACAUGUUUCCCUAUCCCAUGUAAAUAUGGUCUUAAGCACCAACAGGAAGUGGAAAGACAAGACAUUUUGAGCUUUGCAUUUUGAGGCUGCUCUCAAGGUUCAUCUUUGCAGAGGGAAGAUUUAUUCACUUAAAGGGAACACUCAAAACAAAGUUUGAUGCAGUGACUUGGUAUCACAUUAAAGAUGGUGGCUUGAGCUUUUUCAAUGAUAUAGCACUUGUGAUGUACAAUAAUUACUUCUUCACAUCAAUUUGGAUUUAUUUGAAAGAAUCAAAUAUUUCAUG
Molecule: non-coding RNA, 875 nt
Organism: Camellia sinensis
Lineage: Eukaryota; Viridiplantae; Streptophyta; Magnoliopsida; Ericales; Theaceae
Source: RefSeq, a predicted model, not a curated record